RNAcentral lists this long non-coding RNA (542 nucleotides) under Sorghum bicolor (sorghum). Its description in RNAcentral is "long non-coding RNA (SBIC_LNC010039)". The record is from RNAcentral. Lineage: Eukaryota; Viridiplantae; Streptophyta; Magnoliopsida; Poales; Poaceae.
AUCAGUUAAUCUAUAGGCGCUAUUCUCCUUUUCUGUACAAAGGUCACGUAACAUGCACAACACACUUAUACAACCAUGUAUAUCCGCACAUGCUAUACGCCUACGAAUAGCUUAGAACAAGUAAAAGCACUUGCAUAUGUGUAAAUGUGGGCAGUGGUUAUAUUUGAAUCAUGUUGGGUGGAAUCUCAUACCCUCUCGUAGCUAGCCUUAUUUCCAACCUACUCUGUUGAUCACAUUAAUUUGUUCCAAGCUAGAGGUUUAAUUUACCCGGUUGCGAUAGGCUACUAGCUUCAAACUUUGUGUUAGGUCAAAUAUGUAAAAUGGCACUUUUUUAUUAAAAAAAUGCAGCAUGCGGUCAAAACAAGUUAUAUUUUGUCUUUUGUGAAAAGCUAGGGAUUGAAAAAGAAAAAAAAACAAAAUAGAUCUGGUUCAUGUAUGGUUGAAGGUGACAUUUUCCAUUGGUCAUCACCACUCAUGAGUCAUGAGCAAUCAUAUGUAUAUUGACAAAAAUGAAAAUUUUCUGGACAAAACAGAUCCUUGUC